CGGGGUGCAGCAGGCGCGAAAACUUUACACUGCGGGAAACCGCGAUAAGGGGACCCCGAGUGCCAGCACCUAGUGCUGGCUGUCCAGUUGUCCAAAUAACAGUUGUUAGCAAGGGCCGGGCAAGACCGGUGCCAGCCGCCACGGUAACACCGGCGGCCCGAGUGGUAGCCGUUAUUAUUGGGUUUAAAGGGUCCGUAGCCGGCCUAUUAAGUCUCUUGGGAAAUCUGGCGACUCAAUCGUCAGUCGUCCAAGAGAUACUGGUAGGCUUGGGACCGGGAGAGGUGGGAGGUACUCCAGGGGUAGGGGUGAAAUCUCGUAAUCCUUGGGGGACCACCGAUGGCGAAGGCAUCCCACCAGAACGGGUCCGACGGUGAGGGACGAAAGCUGGGGGCACGAACCGGAUUAGAUACCCGGGUAGUCCCAGCCGUAAACGAUGCUCGCUAGGUGUCAGGUGCGGUGCGACCGCAUCUGGUGCCGCAGUGAAAACUUGAAGCGAGUCACCUGGGAAGUACGGUCGCAAGGCUGAAACUUAAAGGAAUUGGCGGGGGAGCAC
Molecule: ribosomal RNA, 553 nt
Filed under: uncultured archaeon
Lineage: Archaea
Description: bacterial SSU rRNA
Rfam family: Archaeal small subunit ribosomal RNA
Source: RNAcentral